Molecule: ribosomal RNA, 1756 nt
Filed under: human gut metagenome
Description: bacterial LSU rRNA
Rfam family: Bacterial large subunit ribosomal RNA
Source: RNAcentral
CCGGUGAACUGAAACAUCUAAGUAGCCGGAGGAAGAGAAAGAAACAUCGAUUUCCUUAGUAGCGGCGAGCGAAAGGGAAAGAGCCCAAACCGAGGGUCUACGGACGUUCGGGGUUCGGACUUGCAAAAAUCGAAGUACUUAUAGACGAAGAGGUUUGGAACUUCCUACCAAAGAGGGUAACAGUCCCGUAGUCGAAAUGAGUACAAGAGGGCGAGAAUCCAGAGUACCACAGGACACGAGUAAUCCGGUGGGAAGACGGGGGGCCCACCCCCCAAGGCUAAAUACUACUUGGUGACCGAUAGCGUAUAGUACCGUGAGGGAAAGGUGAAAAGAACCCCGGGAGGGGAGUGAAAGAGUACCUGAAACCCUAUGUUUACAAGCAGUGGGAGCGAGAGCGACCAUGUACUUUUUGUAGAACGGGCCGGCGAGUUACUGUGUGCAGCGAGGUUAAGUUGUUAAGCAACGGAGCCGAAGGGAUACCGAGUCUGAAAAGGGCGUAAAGUUGCAUGCAGUACACCCGAAACCGGGUGACCUAUCCAUGGACAGGAUGAAGCGACGGUAAGACGUCGUGGAGGUCCGAACCACACGUACGUGAAAAGUGCGGGGAUGAGCUGUGGAUAGCGGAGAAAUUCCAAUCGAACUCGGAGAUAGCUGGUUCUCCCCGAAAUAGCUUUAGGGCUAGCCUCGAUUUAGAUUACCGGGGGUAGAGCACUGAAUGGGCUAGGGGGCCACAAAGCUUACCGAACCCUAUCAAACUUCGAAUACCGGAUAAUUGAUGAUCGGGAGUCAGACAGUGUGAGAUAAGUUUCAUUGUCGAAAGGGAAACAGCCCAGAUCUACGACUAAGGUCCCAAAGUUCAAGUUAAGUGGAAAAGGAUGUGCAAUUGCGUAGACAACCAGGAUGUUGGCUUAGUAGCAGCCAUUCAUUCAAAGAGUGCGUAAUAGCUCACUGGUCGAGUGAUUGUGCGCCGAAAAUGUAACGGGGCUAAACUUGACACCGAAGUCUAGGCAGAAGGAAACUUCUGGGUAGGGGAGCAACGUGUACGGGCAGAAGCAGAAGCGGAAGCGACUGUGGACUGUACAGGAGAGAGAAUGCCGGCAUGAGUAGCGAGAGCAAAGUGAGAAUCUUUGCCGUCGAAAGCCUAAGGUUUCCUGAGGAAGGCUCGUCCUCUCAGGGUAAGUCGGGACCUAAGCCGAGGACAAUAGUCGUAGGCGAUGGACAAUCGGUUAAUAUUCCGAUACCGCCGAGCAACCGGAUGCAGUGACACAGAAGGAUAGGCAGAGCGUGGCGAUGGUAGACCACGUCCAAGCAGUGAGGCUGUUGUGUAGUGAAGUACGCACAACGUAAGGCUGGGCUGUGAUGGGGAACGAUUACGAUCGGUAAGCUGCUGAAUUCACGCUGGCGAGAAAAGCUGCUACGAAGCGAAGGCGCCCGUACCGCAAACCGACACAGGUAGGCGAGGAGAGAAUCCUAAGACGAGCGGGAGAACCCUUGUUAAGGAACUCGGCAAAAUGACUCCGUAACUUAGGGAGAAGGAGUGCCCAGGAAUGGGCCGCAGAGAAUAGACCCAAGCGACUGUUUACCAAAAACACAGGUCUGUGCGAAGUAGAGAUACGACGUAUACGGGCUGACACCUGCCCAGUGCCGGAAGGUUAAGGGGAAAUGUUAGGGCAACCGAAGCAUGGAACUUAAGCCCCGGUGAACGGCGGCCGUAACUAUAACGGUCCUAAGGUAGCGAAAUUCCUUGUCGGGUAAG